AAUGAACGCUGGCGGCAGGCCUAACACAUGCAAGUCGAGCGGAUGAAGGGGGCUCGCUCUCCGAUUCCGUGGCCGGCGGGCGGGUAAUGCCCACGUAUCUGACUGGCAUUGGGGGCUAAGGUCAGGUAACGGGCGCUAAUCUAGCAUCGGUUCUUAUGUUGAACCGGAUGGAUCUUUAGACCUCGAGCUAUCAGCUGAGCCUAGGUCGGAUUAGCUAGUUGGAGGGGUAAAGGCCUACCAAGGCGACGAUCCGUAACUGAUCUGAGAGGAUGAUCAGUCACACUGGAACUGAGACACGGUCCAGACUCCUACGGGAGGCAGCAGUGGGGAAUAUUGGACAAUGGGCGAAAGCCUGACCCAGCCAUGCCGCGUGUGUGAAGAAGGUCUUCGGAUUGUAAAGCACUUUAAGUUGGGAGGAAGGGCAGUAAGUUAAUACCUUGCUGUUUUGACGUUACCAACAGAAUAAGCACCGGCUAACUUCGUG
Molecule: ribosomal RNA, 484 nt
Filed under: uncultured bacterium
Lineage: Bacteria
Description: partial 16S ribosomal RNA
Rfam family: Bacterial small subunit ribosomal RNA
Source: RNAcentral